GCGAUAUAGCUUAGCUGGUUAGAGCGAUCGGUUCAUACCCGAUAGGUCAAAGGUUCGAAUCCUUUUAUCGC
This 71-nucleotide transfer RNA is filed under the name bovine gut metagenome. It matches the Rfam family "tRNA". Rfam says of the family: Transfer RNA (tRNA) molecules are approximately 80 nucleotides in length. Their secondary structure includes four short double-helical elements and three loops (D, anti-codon, and T loops). Further hydrogen bonds mediate the characteristic L-shaped molecular structure. tRNAs have two regions of fundamental functional importance: the anti-codon, which is responsible for specific mRNA codon recognition, and the 3' end, to which the tRNAs corresponding amino acid is attached (by aminoacyl-tRNA synthetases). tRNAs cope with the degeneracy of the genetic code in two manners: having more than one tRNA (with a specific anti-codon) for a particular amino acid; and 'wobble' base-pairing, i.e. permitting non-standard base-pairing at the 3rd anti-codon position. The record is from RNAcentral.